This is a long non-coding RNA of Lolium rigidum, 673 nucleotides long. RefSeq lists it as uncharacterized. The record is from RefSeq and is a predicted model, not a curated record. The transcript has 6 exons. NCBI's taxonomy places the organism in Eukaryota, Viridiplantae, Streptophyta, Magnoliopsida, Poales, Poaceae.
CACUACACCAGGUUGUUCGUGCACAACCACAAUGACCGAACUCCGUCGACCGGAGCGGCAACAUCCUCCCUGGAACUGUUGUCGACUCCAAGAUCUUCCACCCCAUGGAGUUCGACUUUGUCCUGAGCAGUUAUGCCGACAUCAAGGGCACGAGUCGCGUGAUGCAUUACCAUGACUGAUGCGCUGCAGUCCCUCACCAACAAACUGUGCUACAUGGCUACAAGACAAAGCUACUGGAGGAGCACCACCUGCUCAAUACAGUUAAUCUGGAGGUUUGUUUUACCCUGACAACUCAUCGCAACAAUCAGUAACAACCAGCGCCGCCCCCUCGCAGCAGCGACACCCCAGCAACCUGGCUCAUCCCAUAACCGUCUGGAUGAUAGAGUGAAUGGCUCCUACAAGACCUGGUGCUAUCCUGGUUGCGGCAGGCAUUCGUCUUCGAUUACUUCCUGCAUUGAGUUCACCACGCCUCAACCACAACCACGGUGGCCGCUUCACCAUCUCCACGGUUUAGGGACAACGAGGAUGACAACCAGGAAGUUGUAGCAGCUGCCCGCAGCCUGAUGCAUCACUUGAAAGCUGGAUGAUUGCAAUGUGUGAGCAGCCAAGGUUUCACAUUCGAUAGCAUCUUGUAGCGCAGCAUUUGUGUUGUAUGUAACCGUCCCUUGAUCGA